AAAAUACCCAGAUCCUCUAUGUACACAUGUGAAUAUAUCUAUUUCACAUGUCUAAUUCUCUACUAGUAUUAGCUGCAUCAAUAGCUACACUUGCAAUAGUUAUAUCUCUCUUCUUCCUAUUAUUCCUCCUUGAGUACGUAACAACACCUAAUGAAGGACAGUAAUAAAUAUGGUAGAACAAUGUAAAUAUCAUACGCUACAUAUGAUAUACGUUCAUGCCUUACUGU
Molecule: unclassified non-coding RNA, 227 nt
Filed under: Hevea brasiliensis (rubber tree)
Lineage: Eukaryota; Viridiplantae; Streptophyta; Magnoliopsida; Malpighiales; Euphorbiaceae
Source: RNAcentral